CCCGCUCGGCCGCUCCCGUACGCCCGCAGUCCCGCUCGGCCGCUCCCGUACCCCGCGCACCAGGCGCCCAAACGGCCGCCACCACCUCCCCGCCGCCUGCCGCCUGCCCUCGCUUCCCGCCGCCACCUCCCCGCCGCCACCUCUCUGCCGCUCACCCUCGCUCCCCGCCGCCCGAGUCCCGACGCCCGGUACCCCGUCGCCACCCCAAGCCGCUGAUCCCACCCGUCUGUCAGCCUUGGCCUGCCGUAAGCCAUGAGUCCGCCUCCGCGCCGGGGCUUCCUCCUCACCGCAGAUCGGCUGCUGCUUCCGCGCCGUGGAGGUGUUUCCGACUUUCCGCCUGUUGGGAUAGGACAGCUUUGCAGACGCCUGCAACCUGUUCGACCGAAUGCUUCUGCGAAGGAUAUUAGUCUCACCUAACCGUAUCGAGGCUUGUGUGCUAUUGUUCAGUUUCAUGCUCGUGUUCGUCUUCAAUUGUUCUGUUGAUUGAAAGUUGCUGUACCUCUUGGAAAUGGUCUAUCUAGUGAGAAUCACAUAGCCCUAAUGCUUUGAUUGCUUUCUGCUGUUCGAAUCAGUAUGCUUUAUACUGGAUAAUACGUGAUGUUGGCUAGUAAACACCAUUCGUUCAACUUU
Long non-coding RNA from Setaria italica (foxtail millet), 630 nucleotides. RefSeq lists it as uncharacterized. The record is from RefSeq and is a predicted model, not a curated record. Lineage: Eukaryota; Viridiplantae; Streptophyta; Magnoliopsida; Poales; Poaceae. The transcript has 2 exons.